AUUGAACGCUGGCGGCAGGCCUAACACAUGCAAGUCGAACGGUAACAGGAAACAGCUUGCUGUUUCGCUGACGAGUGGCGGACGGGUGAGUAAUGUCUGGGAAACUGCCUGAUGGAGGGGGAUAACUACUGGAAACGGUAGCUAAUACCGCAUAACGUCGCAAGACCAAAGAGGGGGACCUUCGGGCCUCUUGCCAUCGGAUGUGCCCAGAUGGGAUUAGCUAGUAGGUGGGGUAACGGCUCACCUAGGCGACGAUCCCUAGCUGGUCUGAGAGGAUGACCAGCCACACUGGAACUGAGACACGGUCCAGACUCCGACGGGAGGCAGCAGUGGGGAAUAUUGCACAAUGGGCGCAAGCCUGAUGCAGCCAUGCCGCGUGUAUGAAGAAGGCCUUCGGGUUGUAAAGUACUUUCAGCGGGGAUGAAGGGAGUAAAGUUAAUACCUUUGCUCAUGGACGUUACCCGCAGAAGAAGCACCGGCUAACUCCGU
This 489-nucleotide ribosomal RNA is filed under the name uncultured bacterium. RNAcentral's name for it is "partial 16S ribosomal RNA". It matches the Rfam family "Bacterial small subunit ribosomal RNA", at positions 30 to 506 of the family's 1533-position model. The record is from RNAcentral.